AAUCAUCAAAAGACACGAGAAAUGAAUCCUCACUUGUCUACAUCCGCAAUCCAUACUUCAUUUUGUUUUAAAGUAAUAGUAGCAGUUAAUGUAACACAAAUACUCACUGCUAAAAGGUUCACUGCUCGAAACACUAUAAAUUGUCUGUGUAGUCUAGGCUAGCUCCAGCCUAACUAAUCUAAAGUUAAUUGAGUCAAGUAUAAUAUACAGGCAUUAGGCAGAAAGCUUUCUGAUUAGUUAAUUGUGAACCGACCUUGCAUUAACAUGUGUACCUCAGCUUUAUAUCAGACAUUUAUUCGAUUAGUUAAUGUCACUCUUGGAUGUUAUUAAGUCUAAAGUUAAAAGAGGGAACCAGCAAAAGCUUUCCAAUCACAUGUGAUAGUAAUCACACCACCCAAUACUAAAGCUGGAUCAAGUUAUUCAUAAUACUCCAUAGUUUAAUGUAUCUAAUAACAAGUGCGGGUGCAAAAAUAUCAUUGACUAUACAAUGGCAUUGACAAAUAAUAUAGUUUAAUAGCACUGAUUAACAUAGAUCAUUUUUUUGUGUGGCUGUCAUGAUUUAUCAAAGUAUUAUAGGAUCAUGGAUUAACCGGUGAACUUAUGUUCAUCACUGUUUCAAAACGUAAAAGCAAUUCUUGAAUUCCGUAUUUUUCAACGAAUUUGAUCAUCUUUUAUUUGCGUAGUCCGAUCUUUUUUUUUCACUGAAUAAUACUUUCAUUCAUUCAAGUUUCUGUCCAAAAUACAGUCAGGACACUAAAUGGAAGCCAUAACAAGACAAGUUUGGGUAGUCCGGUAUAUAGUAUCAAGUUUGGGUUUAAUUAGUAUUUAAUCAUUUACAGAUUACGGAGUAGUAUAUUCAUAGAUGUACAAAGUAUUUACUAAAAAUGGGUUAAACAUUACUAUUAAAAUACAAUAAGUAAUAAGUAAAGAAAAUUGGUUGGGUGGGAGAUGUAGCUAUCUAGUAUCUAAAAAUGAGACGAGACAGAACGGCCUAAGUGUGGCUCAAUAGCCGCUCCUAAUUUCUGUUCCCUCAUUUAUUCCUCCAUUACAACAUUUAUUUUGUUCUCUUAAAUUAACACCAUAAACGUGGACUUAGAGCAUCUCCAAUGUAAAACACCAUUUUUUCUUCCAAAAUGGAGUAAAAGUGAAAAUGGAGUAAAAUUGCUCCAAUCCUACUCUAUUUCCCACUCUAUAAUGGAGUGAUGAACAAAAAAAAAAUAGAUUACUCCAUUUAUGGAGUAAACUUCAUUAUGGAGUGAGAUAUGGGGUUGGAUUAGAACAUUCUUUAUUCCAUAAUCACUUUUACUCCAUUUUAAAGAAAAAAAUGGAAUAGGGAUGGAGAUGCCCUUAGAUUGUUAAAAAAAUCAACAAGUUGCUCAAAAAAACCAACAAAUGAGGCAUUAAACACUAGAGAUUAGGUUGGAAGAUUUUGAUUUACAAUCUAUCUAACUAGAUUUUAUCGAUUUAUAUAGCAGCUAAGAAAAUAGAUGUAUUUUAACUUGGUUCACUAUUUUACAUUACUUUUAAGUAACAAAGAGAAAAAAAAUUAUAUACCAACACUUCAUAAAUAUUGAAGCGUUGAGUAUAUAAUUGUAAUAUACAUAUUUAGAAUUAAUGAUAGAGACUGGACUAUACCCUCGUUGUUGUAUUAAAUCGGAUACAAUCUGAUAUUGUUGACCUGAACAAAGUAUACUUUUGUAACGAAGUACACAUUUUUUGAAUGAAUGUUAAACUUAUUCAGAUAAAAAAAAUUUUACAAUAAAGUACAAUUUAAUUACCCUUGGUACUAAUCCCUUUAAUAACAAAGAUGUUAUGAAGUUUUAAAACAACUUCUUCUAGUCAAAUACAUAUGCACGUCGCUUAUUAAAUGUUUUUUGAAUUGUUUGUUAGACAAUAAUAAUAUCUAAUGAUAACUUUAAAUAUUAAUUGCAUAAAAAUGGCGUGAAUGUAUUUGACAUAACUAUAAGAACCUUUGUCAGGAGAAAUUGUACAUUCAUUUGCCAUAAAUUGUUAACUAUGUCAUGUUUCGAAGAACAAUUUGCGACCGUACGUGUAGUAUCUACCGAAGUAUAUAUAUGUGAUAGUGAUACUAAUUAUUAGAUAAAUACGUGAAGAUCUUUAAACACAUAGUAUAAUUCAACGUUUUUAUUGUAAAAAAAAACGUUUUUAUUUUAGUCAAAAUAUCAAUAAAUAUACCCGAAUAUAUUAUGUAUGUCGAAAUAAUACAAGUAAUUAACUGUCUGUUCUGUUUUACGUUGUUUUUAGGUUGAAUGUAUAAAAAUAUAAGUAGUAAUUAAUUGUGUUACAUAUUUUUAGGCGUGACAGAGACCAUAGGGAUGUAUAUGGUGAGAGACGGGAAAAGUGGAUUUUAUAUCAUUAAUUCCUCUGUUUCGCCCCCAUUGAAAAUGACAUCACCAUAGCUUUAGCUCUACUAAUAUUUGUUCUCUCACUUUCUCUUCAUGCAUGGCUUUUGAGAUUUGAGAAACCUAAUUCCUAAUAUCUCCUCAUAAAUACGUAUGUUAUAGUUUCAUGUGCUUUGGCAUGUUAUUAACUUCUUUUGGUAUGUGUUUAUGUAUUCUCCGGCAAAUUUAAGUCUUUUCCGGUCGCCGGAAAAUCUUUACUCUCCAUCUGGUUUCAUGGAUUAUUGGAUCGCCGGUUUCUUGGUUUUGACGGCCGGAGUUCUUCUCCUUUCAUGGCUCUGGUUCCGUUUAACAAACUCAAAAACAAGAAAUGAAGACAAACAAGAAGAGAGUGAGAAGAAGAAGGGAAUGAUUCCGAAGGGAAGUUUAGGAUGGCCGGUGAUCGGAGAAACCCUAACCUUUAUUGCUUGUGGAUAUUCUUCGCGGCCUGUUUCCUUCAUGGACAAACGAAAGUCUUUGUAUGGGAAGGUGUUCAAGACGAACAUAAUAGGGACACCAAUCAUAAUAUCAACCGAUGCAGAAGUUAACAAAGUGGUGCUCCAAAACCAUGGGAACACAUUUGUCCCUGCAUACCCCAAAUCAAUCACUGAACUACUUGGAGAAAACUCUAUUCUCAGCAUCAAUGGAGCUCAUCAAAAGAGGCUACACACUCUCAUUAGCGCGUUCCUUAGAUCCCCUCACCUCAAGGAGAGGAUCACUCGAGACAUUGAGGCCUCGGUUGCUCUCACUUUAGCUUCUUGGUCUCAACUUCCCUUGGUUCAUGUCCAAGAUGAGAUCAAAAAGAUGACGUUUGAGAUACUAGUAAAACUGCUGAUGAGCAUAUCUCCUGGUGAAGAUUUGGAUAUUCUUAAACUCGAGUUCCAAGAGUUCAUCAAGGGUUUGAUUUGUAUCCCCAUCAAAUUCCCCGGCACUAGACUUUAUAAAUCCUUAAAGGCGAAAGAGAGAUUGAUUAAGAUAGUUAAGAAAGUUGUGGAGGAGAGACAAGAGGCUACGACCGAGAGUACAAAUUGUCCAGCGAAUGACGCGGUGGAUGUGCUUUUAAGAGACGUUAAUGACGGUGGUUGUUCGGAUAAGCAAUCUCACCCGUUAGAUUUCGUUAGCGGAAAGAUCGUAGAGAUGAUGAUACCCGGAGAAGAAACGAUGCCGACGGCAAUGGCGUUGGCUGUCAAAUUUCUAAGUGACAAUCCCGUCGCUCUAGCUAAACUCGUGGAGGAGAAUAUGGAGAUGAAGAGGCGUAAAUUGGAGUCGGGAAAAGAAUACGGUUGGUCAGAUUAUAUGUCUCUCUCUUUUACUCAAAACGUGAUAAAUGAAACGUUGAGAAUGGCUAAUAUCAUUAACGGUGUGUGGAGGAAGGCUCUUAAAGAUGUGGAAAUAAAAGGUUACUUGAUACCAAAAGGAUGGUGUGUAUUGGCAUCAUUUAUAUCAGUCCACAUGGAUGAAGAUAUUUAUGAGAAUCCCUAUCAAUUCGAUCCGUGGAGAUGGGAUAGGAUUAAUGGAACGGCAAACAGUAAUAUUUGCUUCACACCCUUUGGUGGUGGGCAAAGGCUAUGUCCCGGUUUAGAACUAUCUAAACUCGAAAUUUCCAUCUUUCUUCACCAACUCGUAACCCGGUUCAGUUGGACAGCCGAAAAAGACGAGAUCGUGUCAUUUCCAACGGUCAAGAUGAAACGGAGGCUUCCGAUCCGAGUGACUCCGGUCGAGAGAACCUCUCCUAUCUCAGUUGAAGAUCAUUAGCUAAUAUAUCCUUGAAAAGAACCAAGUGUUUAGGCAAAAAGAAGGAGAGAAGCAAACAAAUAUAUUUUUAAAAUAUAGCAGAGAAGAGAAGCAAACAAGAUUGGAGAGUAAGGGCAGAAAGAGCCAUACGUACAGCUAAUGAUGGCUCAAAGAUGAGAGACUCUAAUUAUUUAUUAUUUUUUUGUCAUGUCAAAUUAUAAGCGUUGGUUAGGUUGUCCCUUUCUCUUUUAUUAUCGUAACAAAGCCAAACGCAACUUGAGAUAUGAUUCCAUAUACACGUAUGGUUUUUGUGUAAAUUGAUAUGAUCCUAGGCAUGUUUCAGUUAAAAUUUCUAUCUAGUUUUUUACUUUUGAUUUU
Brassica rapa (field mustard) is the source of this 4511-nucleotide RNA transcript. It is a transcript of the gene named 3-epi-6-deoxocathasterone 23-monooxygenase CYP90C1, with no coding region annotated. NCBI's taxonomy places the organism in Eukaryota, Viridiplantae, Streptophyta, Magnoliopsida, Brassicales, Brassicaceae. The record is from RefSeq and is a predicted model, not a curated record.